GGGAAUGUGGCUUAGUGGUAAAGUGCUUGCCUAGCAUGCACGAAGCCCUGGGUUCAAUUCCUCAGUACUACUU
Molecule: non-coding RNA, 73 nt
Organism: Dipodomys ordii (Ord's kangaroo rat)
Lineage: Eukaryota; Metazoa; Chordata; Mammalia; Rodentia; Heteromyidae
Source: Rfam